UGCGAGUCAACGCCGCAAGGCGUGGCAUACGGCUCAGUAACACGUAGUCAACAUGCCCAAAGGACGGGGAUAACCUCGGGAAACUGAGGAUAAACCGCGAUAGGCCAAGGUUUCUGGAAUGAGCCAUGGCCGAAAUCUAUAUGGCCUUUGGAUUGGACUGCGGCCGAUCAGGCUGUUGGUGAGGUAAUGGCCCACCAAACCUGUAACCGGUACGGGCUUUGAGAGAAGGAGCCCGGAGAUGGGCACUGAGACAAGGGCCCAGGCCCUAUGGGGCGCAGCAGGCGCGAAACCUCUGCAAUAGGCGAAAGCUUGACAGGGUUACUCUGAGUGAUGCCCGCUAAGGGUAUCUUUUGGCACCUCUAAAAAUGGUGCAGAAUAAGGGGUGGGCAAGUCUGGUGUCAGCCGCCGCGGUAAUACCAGCACCCCGAGUUGUCGGGACGAUUAUUGGGCCUAAAGCAUCCGUAGCCUGUUCUGCAAGUCCUCCGUUAAAUCCACCUGCUUAACGGAUGGGCUGCGGGGGAUACUGCAGAGCUAGGAGGCGGGAGAGGCAAACGGUACUCAGUGGGUAGGGGUAAAAUCCUUUGAUCUACUGAAGACCACCAGUGGCGAAGGCGGUUUGCCAGAACGCGCUCGACGGUGAGGGAUGAAAGCUGGGGGAGCAAACCGGAUUAGAUACCCGGGUAGUCCCAGCUGUAAACGAUGCAGACUCGGUGAUGGGUUGGCCUCGAGCCAACCCAGUGCCGCAGGGAAGCCGUUAAGUCUGCCGCCUGGGGAGUACGGUCGCAAGACUGAAACUUAAAGGAAUUGGCGGGGGAG
Molecule: ribosomal RNA, 816 nt
Filed under: uncultured crenarchaeote
Lineage: Archaea; Thermoproteati; Thermoproteota
Description: bacterial SSU rRNA
Rfam family: Archaeal small subunit ribosomal RNA
Source: RNAcentral